Molecule: ribosomal RNA, 501 nt
Filed under: uncultured Glomeromycotina
Lineage: Eukaryota; Fungi; Glomeromycota
Description: partial small subunit ribosomal RNA
Rfam family: Eukaryotic small subunit ribosomal RNA
Source: RNAcentral
CCAAUAGCGUAUAUUAAAGUUGUUGCAGUUAAAAAGCUUGUAGUUGAAUUUCAGGCCUGGCUGGACGGUCCGCCCUUCGGGUGAGUACUGUCUGUGGUCGGGUCCUACCUUCUGGCGAAGCGUCAUGGCCUUAACCGGCCGUGGCGGGGAACCAGGACUUUUACUGUGAAAAAAUUAGAGUGUUCAAAGCAGGCAAAUCGCUUGGAUACAUUAGCAUGGAAUAAUGGAAUAGGACAAUGGUUCUAUUUGUUGGUUUCUAGGACCGUUGUAAUGAUUAAUAGGGAUAGUUGGGGGCAUUAGUAUUCAAUUGUCAGAGGUGAAAUUCUUGGAUUUAUUGAAGACUAACUACUGCGAAAGCAUUUGCCAAGGAUGUUUUCAUUAAUCAAGAACGAAAGUUAGGGGAUCGAAGACGAUCAGAUACCGUCGUAGUCUUAACCAUAAACUAUGCCGACUAGGGAUCGGAUGAUGUUAAUUUUAUAAUGACUCAUUCGGCGCCUUACG